GGUGGUGCUUUCUUAGAAAACAUACAAGUUUGGACAGCAUGAAGAGUGGUAAAGUAAACCCAAGAUAUGCAAUAGAAAUCGAUAUACAGAAGCUAAUUGAAGAUUUAGUUUGGAAAAAGUUUCUGAAAAGUCUUCAUUUUUCGUGUCUUAGAAGAUGUUUCUAUCGACGAAAUGCCUAUCAUAUUGAAAUUCGGUGGAGUUACUUUAGUUUCGAGGAUUUUCUUGAAUCUGAAGUGCCUCUGCGAAAAGAGCCAACAAAAUCCCUGACUCAAUACUCAACCACAUACACGUGCCAGAUAACCGGACCGCAGAAACAUAUAUUCAACGCACAGGGUUCGCAAAUGGAGUCUCGGUCGGUAAAAUUACAAAAGAAUUACAGUAUUGGAGGAAAAGUAUCGAUAAAAGCAGCAGGAUUAGAGUUCAAUGCCGGUGGGAAACGUGAUAAUAGCCAGGAAGAUAAGACAGAUACGACCACCUCAUGGUCGGAUACCGCCGAGUUUACUUUGAAUACAAACAACUCGGCUAAAGUGGUUAUUACGCAAGAAAAGGGAAUAUCAGAGAAGUACUUUGUAGUGAAAACUCUGUUACGAUUGAGACCGACACACCCUGGAUGGGGAGCUCCUGUGAUUGUUAGAAAGAAAUCUAACCAUCAGAAAGUGUUUGAAUAUGAAAUUAUUAGUUUCAGAGAGCUGUUUGAAGCGUAUAGUGAAUGUGCAGACUUGGUGGAGAUUCGACCGCAAGCUCACUUACAACAAUUCGAAGACGGCAACAGUCAAUAUUAUGAUGAGGUUUAUAUAUUUUCCAGGGGAAUAGAGACAAAUGAAGAGGAAAAAAGGAAUGUUAACAUAGCUGCGGAAAAUAAUUAAGUUCAUUGUUAUAUCCCCUAACAACUCUGUAACUCAUUCCUCUUUUCCUGCACUUAAUAUAACCUUAUAUACUGCAUCCGAUGCAAUCUACGCAUCCGUCUAUAUGUUGGUCAGACGGUCUGUCGGUUGGCCAACCGUUUCAGAGAACACCUAUGGAAUGUCCGCCUGCAGAGAAAUACUCCUGUUACCCGUCAUUUUUGCUCAGCAGGCCACUCCACCUCGCACUUCACUGUCUUCAGGCUUGCCCGAACACCAGGGCUUGCGAACCUGGGGCACACUUGAUAUUUUCUUGAAGUAUUGUGCUUAAUUUCAAAAUAAAAUUGUUUGUGUAAUACAUUUGUUUAAAAAUAUAUUUAGAAUUUAUAAGUGGCAAUAAACGAAUACCCUACAAUUUUAUAAUUUUAAACAAAAGAAAAGUACGGAAAAUUCUUGAUCUGUAAUUUGUUUAUUUGACAAUUAGUAUUUUGUCU
Molecule: unclassified non-coding RNA, 1336 nt
Filed under: Octopus sinensis (East Asian common octopus)
Lineage: Eukaryota; Metazoa; Mollusca; Cephalopoda; Octopoda; Octopodidae
Description: uncharacterized LOC115218515, transcript variant X2
Source: RNAcentral